Molecule: ribosomal RNA, 449 nt
Filed under: uncultured bacterium
Lineage: Bacteria
Description: bacterial SSU rRNA
Rfam family: Bacterial small subunit ribosomal RNA
Source: RNAcentral
AUCCAGACUCCUACGGGAGGCAGCAGUGGGGGAUAUUGCACAAUGGGGGGAACCCUGAUGCAGCGACGCCGCGUGGGUGAAGGAGUAUUUCGGUAUGUAAAGCCCUAUCGGCAGGGAAGAAGCAAGACGGUACCUGACUAAGAAGCCCCGGCCAACUACGUGCCAGCAGCCGCGGUAAUACGUAGGGGGCGAGCGUUAUCCGGAUUCACUGGGGGUAAAGGGAGCGUAGACGGCCAGGCAAGCCCGGGGUGAAAGCCCGGGGCGCAGCCCCGGGACUGGCCUUGGAACUGCAUGGCUGGAGUGCGGGAGGGGCAGGCGGAAUUCCUGGUGUGGCGGGGAAGUGCGUAGAUAUCAGGAGGAACACCGGCGGCGAGGGCGGCCUGCUGGACCGCGACUGACGUUGAGGCUCGAAAGCGUGGGGAGCGAACAGGAUUAGAUACCCCCGUACA